ACCAUUUUGUAACCCCCCAUAGUGUUAGAUGUUAGGAAGUACAGGUAAAGAAGAAUGUGUUGCAACACUUUUGGAUGGCAACACCAGUACAAGUUAUGUUGACACCGUUACAUUUGCUUGCAAGUUAGAGCUGAUUAUGGAUGUAUUUUUAAUCUAGCAAUUCCUAGAUGCCCGCAUAGCGACUGAUAAAAUACCUCUCAUUUGCAAUGUUGAAGUGUUUACCUUUGGGAAAUCCAUGACAGAAAUAACCGUAUUUUUGUCACCAGCAGCUGGAUCCCUGCCAUACUGUCUGGAGGAAUAAGGUUGUUCUGGACAAGAGGAACAAUGGGAGCAGAAUGGCUGAUAUAUGCGUGCACACAGUUUUCCCCUAUUCAUCUCUGAUGAUGCCAGUGAGGUGAAGAGUCUGUGUUUUACCAUCAAAGGUCAGCCCUCCAGGAUGUCUGGAAGCUGCAGUGUGGCCCCUGCAUGCCAAUCUACUGGAGAAUACAUUUAGGGCUGGGUCUGGAGAAGGGUGAUGUGCGUUAUCUUUCUAAGAGCACUGUGGUGAUAUUCUUGGGAAUUAUCUAUCCCACACUGAGGGAGCCUAUCUGAAGCUAACACAGUCCUUGCAAAGUGCAAGGUAAUUAACCAUUCUCCUCCCCCUAUUUAUCUUGAAUUUUGCUUCCAUCUAGUUGUUUUUCACGCUUGUAAAGUAUAAUUUGAAUAGAGUUUUAGCACUUUCUUCCUACACAACCCCUCACUCUCCGUUCCCUCCCUCCAUAACAUUGCAGUGAUCUGAGUGUGAAUUAUCUCAGAGUAAGGGUGGGUGAACUAUUCUGCCUGAGCACAGCAACACUGAAGACAAUGGAGCACAGCGUCAGCGAU
This 864-nucleotide long non-coding RNA is filed under the name Anas platyrhynchos platyrhynchos (common mallard). Its description in RNAcentral is "lncRNA (ENSAPLG00000029552.1)". Lineage: Eukaryota; Metazoa; Chordata; Aves; Anseriformes; Anatidae. The record is from RNAcentral.